Agrilus planipennis (emerald ash borer) is the source of this 719-nucleotide long non-coding RNA. RefSeq lists it as uncharacterized. NCBI's taxonomy places the organism in Eukaryota, Metazoa, Arthropoda, Insecta, Coleoptera, Buprestidae. The transcript is spliced from 3 exons. The record is from RefSeq and is a predicted model, not a curated record.
UGGAGUGGCAGUUAUUUUAAUUUAUUUAAUUAAAGCAGUGGAUACUUAAUUAUUAAUUUUGAUUUAAUUUAACGGAAGACUACUUCCAGGCAUGGCCCCAAGCUAAAAGGAAUUUAUAUUUCUGUUAUUGUAACUAAUAAUUACAGCUAAUAUUAGCACAUUACAAGCACAAAUUCUUGUUAGCAACUUACAAUUUGAAAUCAUUGUUAAGAGUCUUUGAAAACAUAGUGAGAUUAAAUUUUUGUGAGUAAAAAAUGUCUUUUAUUUUAAGUCCUGAACGAGUUACAGAACAUAGAAAAAGGCUGUAAUAAGCCAUAAAAAAAGAUGGUUCUAUAAGUUAACCUGUUAACUAUUUUUAGGCCAAGGACAGUUUGCAGCAGAAACAUGAAAUUCACUUUAGUCUGGGGCAAAUUCACCAAACGGAUACCUAACAAUGGGUUUUGUAUUAUGUUAUUUUUAAUCAAAAUAUUAGAAUUGCAUUAAAUCAUUAUCUGAUUGAAGCAGAAUGGCCUGCACAAAUAGGGGUGUGCGAACCUAGAAAGGUGGCAGCAAUAUCAUUAGCUAAUCGUGUCGCGGAUGAGAUGGGAACGUUUGUACAGGGCGAUACAGUCGGAUAUGCUGUGCGUUUCGAUGCAUGUACAAACCAGCCAAAGAUAAAGUAUAUGACCGAAGGAAUUCUCCUCAGAGAAAUCAUGGGUGAUCCUCUUUUAAAAAAUUAC